Salmo salar (Atlantic salmon) is the source of this 55-nucleotide non-coding RNA. Lineage: Eukaryota; Metazoa; Chordata; Actinopteri; Salmoniformes; Salmonidae. The record is from Rfam.
UGAAUGCACUAAUUGCAAGUCGCUUUGGAUAAGAGCGUCUGCUAAAUGACUACAA